This 1002-nucleotide long non-coding RNA is filed under the name Macaca fascicularis (crab-eating macaque). RNAcentral's name for it is "lncRNA (ENSMFAG00000059683.1)". The record is from RNAcentral. Lineage: Eukaryota; Metazoa; Chordata; Mammalia; Primates; Cercopithecidae.
AGAACCUCUAUGCAUAUCUGCAUUCAGAUGAUCAAGCUGUAGAAUGGCUAGCCGAAAAACACAAUGUUGAAAGCUCUGGGUUGCAGAAAGUCAGAGGCACACAUCAGCUUCAAAGAGAAGGCUGUCAAUGGAGACGGAAAGAGGGGAACGAGGGGGUAGCCUUCCCUCUGCCACACAGAAAUGGCUCCAAGGCUGUGAUGCAAGGUGGUCCCAGCUCUGUGAAAAGGCACUUUCACCUUUAAAGCACUUUGCUGAGAGGGAAAAUCAAAGCUGAUAUCCUCCUUGAAUAAAGCACUCGGGUCUACUGGGGAGUCCAAAAAUAAAAGCAUGGUGCUAAAUAUUUCUCUACCUGUAGCUACUGCUCACCCUUAAGAGGAGGGGCAAGGUGGAGCUGUUAGGGGAGCAGGUAGAGGAAGAGGCAGGUGGGGGACCGUGGUUGAAGCACUAGAAAAGGGCAGCCGGGAAGACUCGCAAAUAGGAGUGGGGGAAGGGGCAGGCUUCUAGAGGAAGUGGUUUUUGUUGAGGCUGGCUGAGAGCAACAACAAGGCUGGGAACACCGAGGAUGCCGUGGGAAGUGAAAAAAAAGUCCUCCUCCUGGCCCAGUAAGAAGAGAACGGAAGGCUCCUUGCAGUUUGGCUUCUCCCAGAGUGUCUCUCCCUUAGCAGCAGCAUCUAGUUCACUCUCUGAAUCAGGACACUGUGCAGUUUUAAUCGAGAUGGAACAUUCCAAGGCCAAGAAAAUGUCAUGCGUUCACUGGUGAGUAAGCUGGACACGACGGGAAUGACAGUUACAGGACACAGCCAUUUGCCAAAAAUGUGACCUAUGGGACUUAAGAACCAUGUCACGCUGCUCUGCUUGACGGUUUCUAUUGGAUGACCUGAAAUCAGAAACUUGGUUUUCUGUUGAAGAGAAAAUUGUCCAGAGUACACUGGGCUAUGCAUGGGAGUGAGGGACACGUGCAAGUGUGCACAUCCACGUGUUUACAGCCAUGGGGAAGGGAGG